This 440-nucleotide ribosomal RNA is filed under the name uncultured bacterium. Its description in RNAcentral is "partial 16S ribosomal RNA". It matches the Rfam family "Bacterial small subunit ribosomal RNA", at positions 339 to 795 of the family's 1533-position model. The record is from RNAcentral.
CUACGGGGUGCUGCAGUGGGGAAUAUUGCACAAUGGACGAAAGUCUGAUGCAGCAACGCCGCGUGGAGGAUGACACAUUUCGGUGCGUAAACUCCUUUUAUAUCCCAAGAUAAUGACGGUAGGAUAUGAAUAAGCGCCGGCUAACUCCGUGGCCAGCAGCCGCGGUAAUACGGAGGGCGCAAGCGUUACUCGGAAUCACUGGGCGUAAAGAGCGUGUAGGCGGAUAGAUAAGUUGGGAGUGAAAUCCUAUGGCUUAACCAUAGAAUUGCUUCCAAAACUGUCUAUCUAGAAUAUGGGAGAGGUAGAUGGAAUUUCUGGUGUAGGGGUAAAAUCCGUAGAGAUCAGAAGGAAUACCGAUUGCGAAGGCGAUCUACUGGAACAUUAUUGACGCUGAGACGCGAAAGCGUGGGGAGCAAACAGGAUUAGAUACCCCGGUAGUC